This 483-nucleotide ribosomal RNA is filed under the name uncultured bacterium. RNAcentral's name for it is "bacterial SSU rRNA". It matches the Rfam family "Bacterial small subunit ribosomal RNA", at positions 28 to 533 of the family's 1533-position model. The record is from RNAcentral.
GAUGAACGUUGGCGGCGUGCCUAAUACAUGCAAGUCGAACGAAGACUGUAGUAAUACUGUCUUAGUGGCGAACGGGUGAGUAACGCGUGGGUGACCUGCCCCGAAGUGUGGGAUAACAGUUCGAAAGGAUUGCUAAUACUGCAUAAUAUCCAAGAGAUUAGACGCUUUUGGAUUAAAGGAGUAAUUCGCUUCGGGAGGGGCCCGCGUCCCAUCAGCUAGUUGGUAAGGUAAUGGCUUACCAAGGCGAUGACGGGUAGGGACCUGAGAGGGUGGCCCCCAAAUGGAACUGAAACACGGUCCAUACACCUACGGGUGGCAGCAGUAGGGAAUAUUAGUAAUGGGCGAAAGCCUGAACUAGCAACGCCGCGUGUGCGAAGAAGGCCUUCGGGUUGUAAAGCACUUUUUGAGAGGAUGAGGAAGGACGGUACUCUCAGAAUAAGUCUCGGCUAACUACGUGCCAGCAGCCGGGUAAAAGUGUGUGUA